Quercus robur (English oak) is the source of this 5700-nucleotide RNA transcript. It is a transcript of the gene named histone-lysine N-methyltransferase ATX2, with no coding region annotated. The record is from RefSeq and is a predicted model, not a curated record. The transcript has 27 exons. Lineage: Eukaryota; Viridiplantae; Streptophyta; Magnoliopsida; Fagales; Fagaceae.
CACUAAAAAAAAUUAAUAUCGAUACUACAUAUGUCAGUUUUGUGACAAACUAAGUAUGUGAUAUAAGUAUUUGAAUAAAAUGAACACUACAAGAGACGAUUUAAAUAUCAAAGUAGAACUUACAAAAUGAAAUUUAUUUUAGGUGUACAAAUACAAUUGACAUUUUUUUUAAGUAUUAAAUUUAUAGCUGGAGUCCAAAAUCUCUCAUUCUUGUAACCACUUUGGUACUUUGCUUAUAUAGCUUUUUAAGGUUCUUGUGGGAGGGGUAAGAUCCGAGUAUGGAAUAGAGCCCAUGGUCAAGUCCGAGGAAGGGGAAGGGCCCACCCAUGCAUUAGUCCUUACCCAACACGUGGAUGAGAAUCCGAGGAGGAACCACAAAUAGGCCGAUCUUUCAAGGAGCCCGAAGAGUGAGCGCUUCCUUGGGAAUUGUUGGGCAGGCCACUUGUACUAGAUAACAUAAUACUGAAGAAGACGGUAGAGGCAUGCAAGCAAAGAAUAAGGGAAGUAUCCAGACAAAGUAACCAUUACCUUCGCAUUCAAUGCACUGAACCUUGAUGGAACAAGCAUACUCUACCACUUCUAGCAAAACCUUGAUGGAACAAACAUCUAAAGGAAGGUUAGUGACUAUACAAGUGGAGGGCUUAGAUGUAAUUCAGCUAACUAUAUAAAGAAAGGAAGGUCCAACAUAAAGGGGAUGAAAAACUGAAAGGAAAUAAAAACAUUUUGUAGCACUAUCUUGUGAUUAAAACUUGAAUAAUCUAUGAACAACUGCUCUUCGGCCAGGCUCGAGGAAGUGUUAAUUCUAAAAAUCUAUUCUUCUUCCUUGAAUUGUGUAACUUUUACCCAUUCAUCUAAAGCUCAAAUCAUACCAGUACAUUAAAGAUGACCUUGGAAGCCUAUCCUCUAACAAAUUAAUUAUAUUGAAAUGUUUAGCUUAAAUUUAUUAUUUUAAGUGGGCUUAGCCUGUUAGACCUGCUCACAGUUCCAAUAUACAAAAAUUUGCAUUUUAUAGGCAAAUAAAAAAAUCAUUUAUUCAUUAAAAAAAUCAUUUAAUUAUUAUUUCUAAAAAAAAAUAUAGAGAAAAUUUAUGACCAAAACCUGCAACCCACUGAACUAUCACUGUUAUGCAUAUAAAAGAAACAAGUACCCAUAUAUAGAUUCCGUUCAUCUAUGAUCUAUCUCCUUUUUUUUUUUAAUUGUACCUUUACACACGGCGGGAAACCGAUAAAUUUGGCGAAAUUCCUCCCUCCAAAAACACCCGAUCCUUCCCAAUCCCCACUUUAAAACCCUAACGCACACUCCUUUCCCAAAAUUUCGAAAAACUUUCAUUCACAUUCACAUUUUCGCAUUCUCUCUCUUUCCCACACUAUUCGUGUGAGAGAAAACAAAGAGAGAGAGAGAGAGCAAAAUCCCAAACCCAAACCCUUAUUUCCAUUUUCGUCACUUUUGCUCUCUCUCUAACAAUGGCACUUGCUCUGAAGAAGCCCCAACAUCUCCACGACGACGACACCACCGUAGACGGCACUCCCGUUCGGUACCUUCCGCUCGACCACGUCUACUCCGCCACCUCGCCCUGCCGCGUCACCGCCAGCGGCUCCUCCGCCUUAAUGUCCAAGAAAAUCAAAGCUCGGAAGCUUCUCUCCACCAAUUUAGACGACAAUACUAACCUUUCCUCGUCUUCUCUUCCUAACAAGCCUCCUCUCCUCUACGUCUACACUCGCCGCCGUAAGCGCCUCCGUCAUUCCCUUCCGAACCCUUCCUUUCUCCGCUCCUUAAUCUCUCGCGACGACGAGGAGUUCGAAGUGCAGGAAUCGAAGGUGGAUGCACUGUCGUUAAAUGCGAAUCAGAAGAAGAAGAAAAAGCAUAGGUUAGGGACUGGUGAGCUUGUCAAAUUGGGCGUGGAUUCCAGCGUCUUGCGUAGCCUUGAUCGGCCGCGAUUGAGGGAUUGUAGAAUUCAUAAUAGUAGUAAUGCUAAUGUUGAUGCUAAUAGUAGUAAUUUGAAGAAAAGGAAGCGGAAUUUGGAAAAUUGCGAGAAGGUUUUGUCGGAUUCGCCUACCACUAAGCGAUGGAUCAGGUUGAGUUUGGACAAUGUUGAGCCAAAAACGUUUAUUGGAUUACAAUGCAAGGUUUAUUGGCCAUUGGAUGCUGAUUGGUAUUCUGGUCGAGUUGUGGGUUACACCCCAGAGUCUAAUCGACAUCAUGUAGAAUAUGAAGAUAGUGAUAAAGAAGAAUUAAUUCUCUCAAAUGAGAAAGUUAAAUUCUACAUUUCCCACGAAGAGAUGCAGCGUUUGAACUUGACUUGCAGUGUUACGAGUACAGAUGGUGAUGUGUAUGAUUAUAAUGAGAUGCUCGUGUUGGCUGCGAGUUUGUAUGACUGCCAAGAGCUCGACCCUGGGGAUAUCAUAUGGGCCAAGCUUACUGGUCAUGCAAUGUGGCCAGCAAUUGUUGUGAAGGAAUCCCUCAUCCGUGAUCGUAAGGGUUUAAGCAAACUUUCAGGUGGAGGGUCAGUUCCGGUGCAGUUUUUUGGCACGCAUGAUUUUGCAAGGAUCAAAGUGAAGCAGGCUAUCUCAUUUCUUAAGGGACUCCUUUCUUCUUUCCACCUGAAGUGCAAGAAACCUCGUUUCAUUCGAGGCUUGGAAGAAGCAAAAACGUAUUUGAGCGAACAAAAGCUUCCAAGAAGAAUGCUACAGCUGCAAAAUGGUAUUACCACUGAUAAUGUUAGCACAAGUGAAGAUGAUGGAGCGAGUACAGAUACAGGUGAAGAUUGCAUUGAAGAUGCAGGGAUUCAGGGAGCAACGCAGGGCCUUGGAACUCCUCCCUAUGUAAUUGGGGAUGUGCAAAUUUUAAGCCUUGGAAAGAUUGUCAAGGACUCUGAACAUUUCCAGGAUGAGAGAUUCGUUUGGCCUGAAGGAUAUACUGCCAUGAGGAAGUUUACUUCAAUAACUGAUCCCAGUACAUGCACCUUAUAUAAGAUGGAAGUGUUAAGAGAUGCUGAAUCAAAGAUUCGACCUCUAUUUAGAGUGACAUCAGAUACUGGAGAGCAGAUCAGUGAUGACAGUAGGUAUGCUAUUGCAUCACUGAAUCAGUUUGAGGGAUCCACUCCAUCUGAUUGCUGGAAUAAAAUAUACAAAAGGAUAAAGAAAAUACAAACAAGUAGCUCUGAUAGUUCUGGUGCUGACGGUGGAGGAGAAAAGAUUGAUAAAACUGGUUCUGAUAUGUUUGGUUUCUCCAAUCCUGAAGUUGUGAAGCUUAUACAGGGUUUGUCUAAAUCUAGAUUCUCUUCUAAAUUAUCCAUGUCCAAGUUAGCCUCUAGACGACAUCAAGACCUGCCUGUUGGUUACAGACCUGUUCGUGUUGAGUGGAAAGACCUUGACAAGUGCAGUGUUUGCCACAUGGAUGAGGAGUACGAAAACAAUCUCUUCCUGCAAUGUGAUAAAUGCAGAAUGAUGGUCCAUGCUAGAUGUUAUGGAGAAUUAGAACCUGUUGAUGGAGUGCUAUGGUUGUGCAACUUAUGUCGACCAGGGGCUCCCAACCCUCCGCCACCUUGCUGCCUUUGUCCAGUAAUAGGGGGUGCAAUGAAGCCUACAACUGAUGGGCGCUGGGCUCAUCUGGCGUGUGCAAUAUGGAUACCUGAAACUUGCUUAUCUGAUGUCAAAAGAAUGGAGCCCAUUGAUGGGCUAAGUAGAAUCAAUAAGGACCGCUGGAAGCUUUUAUGUAGCAUCUGUGGUGUGUCUUAUGGAGCUUGCAUUCAAUGUUCAAACAAUACUUGUUAUGCAGCAUAUCAUCCACUUUGUGCACGUGCUGCUGGUUUGUGCGUUGAGCUUGAAGAUGAGGAUAGAUUAUAUCUACUAGCUGUAGAUGAUGAUGAAGAAGAUCAAUGCAUUCGUCUGCUUUCCUUCUGCAAGAAGCAUAGGCAGCCCUCCAAUGAGCGUUCUGCUGCUGAUGAACGUCUUGGGCGAGUUUCUCGUCAGUGUUCAGAUUACAUACCACCCUCUAAUCCGUCUGGUUGUGCUCGCAGUGAGCCUUACAAUUACUUUGGUAGAAGGGGACGAAAAGAACCCGAAGCCCUUGCUGCUGCCUCCUUGAAGCGCUUGUUUGUACAGAACCAGCCUUACUUAGUUGGUGGCUACAGCCAACAUGCAUUUUCAGGCAAUUCACUGCCUUCCAGUGGCGUAAUUGGCUCUAAGUUCUCUUCUACCCUUCAGAGACUGAAAACCUCUGAGCUUGAUACUCCUAAAGACAUACGUUCUAUGGCUGAGAAAUAUACAUACAUGAAGGAGACAUUCCGAAAGAGACUAGCUUUUGGGAAAUCAGGAAUCCAUGGAUUUGGCAUCUUUGCAAAGCAUCCACAUAGAGCAGGAGACAUGGUGAUUGAAUACUCUGGUGAACUUGUUAGACCUCCUAUAGCUGAUAGGAGAGAACGCUUUAUAUACAAUUCCUUGGUGGGUGCUGGGACUUACAUGUUUCGGAUAGAUGAUGAACGAGUCAUUGAUGCGACAAGGGCCGGAAGCAUUGCUCAUCUGAUUAACCACUCUUGUGAACCAAAUUGCUAUUCAAGAGUUAUAAGUGUUAAUGGUGAUGAGCAUAUAAUUAUAUUUGCAAAGAGAGACAUUAAAAGAUGGGAGGAACUCACAUAUGAUUACAGAUUUUUUUCAAUUGAUGAACAACUAGCAUGUUAUUGUGGCUUUCCAAGAUGCCGGGGUGUAGUUAAUGACAUUGAAUCGGAAGAGCGAGCAGCAAAGCUAUAUGCACCUCGCAGUGAAUUAAUAGAUUGGAGAGGAGAAUGAGAGAGAAUUCUCAUUGUAAAAAUAUGCUCAUCUAAGAUCCUUCUGAAGAUACAUUGCUUCCUUCCAACAAUCUGCUCAUCAUCUGUUAUUCUUAUCAAGGCAGAUAGGGUUGUAGAGCUCUGGUUUUCCUCCUGUCACCUAUUUGUCAUACCACAACCAAAUGAAAGCUUUUUCACUAAAGCUGAUUCCUCUUUUUGGUCUGAACAAACUAACUUGAGAAUGGUGUCAAACAGUUUUAACAAAAUUUAAUUUCAAACAUUGAAAAAAAGUCAAUCAACAGUGGGAAUCUGAGUAUAAGUGGUGGGGGUGAAGAUGUUUCUCGUAAUUGACUUGCAAAUCUACCUACAACCAUCCAUUGCAUUGAUUAUAAUUUGAAGAUGGGUGGAAUAAAGAUCAUAUAGAUCAAGGAAAAGAUGUUAAGAGUUAAGGCUAGGGGAGGCCAUUUUCAAAGAUGAAUUUAGAGUGAGAAAAAGGAUAAAGAAGUAGAUGUAUCACGCGUUCAAUUGUGUCAAGGCAGGGUGCAAGCUGGAUGAGUGACAACUAUUGAUUCUUCAAGAGGAACGAGUGAUACGAUGAGUGACAAGAUGGAAUUGUUGGUUAGAAAAUGAUGAGAACCAAAUAGAAUCAUGUUGGUCCAAUGCAUGCUGACUAUGCAUGCUGACUGGAAGAGAAUGUACUUCUUGGUGUUAGAGUUGACUGCGUAUUUAGUAUUAGAAGAUGUGUGAUUUGUGGUAUGUAUCAAAUCAAGGAGUUGAAAGAUAGUCUCAUGUGCUUGUAUGGCGGAUGUUUAUUUGUACGAAUUGUAUUGAAUUGUGGUAUCAGUGUGUGUUGUCUGAUUCAUAAACCAGUGGAUUUAUUUUGUGUAUGCGUAGUUUUAUGAUAUUGGAAUCAAGUGGGUUUAUUUUGGGUAUUA